This 551-nucleotide ribosomal RNA is filed under the name uncultured bacterium. Its description in RNAcentral is "bacterial SSU rRNA". It matches the Rfam family "Bacterial small subunit ribosomal RNA", at positions 352 to 896 of the family's 1533-position model. The record is from RNAcentral.
CAGUGGGGAAUAUUCGCGCAAUGGGGGGAACCCUGACGCAGCCAUGCCGCGUGAAUGAAGAAGGCCUUAGGGUUGUAAAGUUCUUUCGGUAUUGAGGAAGGUUGAUGUGUUAAUAGCACAUCAAAUUGACGUUAAAUACAGAAGAAGCACCGGCUAACUCCGUGCCAGCAGCCGCGGUAAUACGGAGGGUGCGAGCGUUAAUCGGAAUAACUGGGCGUAAAGGGCACGCAGGCGGUUAUUUAAGUGAGGUGUGAAAGCCCUGGGCUUAACCUAGGAAUUGCAUUUCAGACUGGGUAACUAGAGUACUUUAGGGAGGGGUAGAAUUCCACGUGUAGCGGUGAAAUGCGUAGAGAUGUGGAGGAAUACCGAAGGCGAAGGCAGCCCCUUGGGAAUGUACUGACGCUCAUGUGCGAAAGCGUGGGGAGCAAACAGGAUUAGAUACCCUGGUAGUCCACGCUGUAAACGCUGUCGAUUUGGGGGUUGGGGUUUAACUCUGGCGCCCGUAGCUAACGUGAUAAAUCGACCGCCUGGGGAGUACGGCCGCAAGGUUA